This 76-nucleotide transfer RNA is filed under the name Bacillota bacterium. RNAcentral's name for it is "tRNA-Val". It matches the Rfam family "tRNA". Rfam says of the family: Transfer RNA (tRNA) molecules are approximately 80 nucleotides in length. Their secondary structure includes four short double-helical elements and three loops (D, anti-codon, and T loops). Lineage: Bacteria; Bacillati; Bacillota. RNAcentral also lists the same sequence under 1 other name. The record is from RNAcentral.
GGGAGCAUAGCUCAGCUGGGAGAGCAUCUGCCUUACAAGCAGAGGGUCAUAGGUUCGAGUCCUGUUGUUCCCACCA